GACGAACGCUGGCGGCGUGCUUAACACAUGCAAGUCGAACGGGUCUGCCCUGUUUUUUGCGGGGUGGGUCAGUGGCGAACGGGUUAGUAACCCGUGAGUAACCUGCCCCUCACUUCUGGAUAACCGCUUGAAAGGGUGGCUAAUACGGGGUGUUCUGGCUGUGCCGCAUGGUGUGGCUGGGAAAGAUUCACUUUUGUGGUGUUUUGGUGGGGGAUGGGCUGGCGGCCUAUCAGCUUGGUGGUGGGGUGAUGGCCUGCCAAGGCUUUGACGGGUAGCCGGCCUGGGAGGGUGGGCGGUCAUACUGGGACGGAGAUACGGCCCAGACUCCUGCGGGAGGCAGCAGUGGGGGGUAGUGCACAAUGGGCGGAAGCCUGAUGCAGCGACGUCGCGUGAGGGAUGGAGGCCUGCGGGUUGUGAACCUCUUUCGCCGGUGAAGAAGGUCCUGCUCUUUGGGGUGGGGUUGACGGUAGCCGGGUUAUGAAGCGCCGGCUAACUACGUG
This 500-nucleotide ribosomal RNA is filed under the name uncultured bacterium. RNAcentral's name for it is "partial 16S ribosomal RNA". It matches the Rfam family "Bacterial small subunit ribosomal RNA", at positions 28 to 507 of the family's 1533-position model. The record is from RNAcentral.